RNAcentral lists this unclassified non-coding RNA (612 nucleotides) under Aspergillus insolitus. RNAcentral's name for it is "sequence contains 18S rRNA gene, ITS1, 5.8S rRNA gene, ITS2, 28S rRNA gene". The stretch from base 236 to 389 matches the Rfam family "5.8S ribosomal RNA". The record is from RNAcentral. Lineage: Eukaryota; Fungi; Ascomycota; Eurotiomycetes; Eurotiales; Aspergillaceae.
GUAACAAGGUUUCCGUAGGUGAACCUGCGGAAGGAUCAUUACCGAGCGUUUGGCAGCCCUGUUCCAGGGUUGCCUACCUCCCACCCGUGACUACCGUACCUUGUUGCUUCGGCGGGCCGCCGUCAGGCCCCCGGGGCGGGGGAGAAAUCCCCCCCCUUCCGGGGCAGCGCCCGCCGGAGACACCUUGAAACUCUUUGUGUGAAGAUUGCCUCUGAGUUUGACACAAAAUAGCCAAAACUUUCAACAACGGAUCUCUUGGUUCCGGCAUCGAUGAAGAACGCAGCGAACUGCGAUAAGUAAUGUGAAUUGCAGAAUUCAGUGAAUCAUCGAGUCUUUGAACGCACAUUGCGCCCCCUGGUAUUCCGGGGGGCAUGCCUGUCCGAGCGUCAUUGCUACCCUCCAGCACGGCUGGUGUGUUGGGCGCCGCGUCCCCUCCCCUUCCGGGGGGGACGGGCCCGAAAGGCAGCGGCGGCACCGUCCGGUCCUCGAGCGUAUGGGGCUUUGUCACCCGCUCUGCAGGGCCGGCCGGGGCUCGCCUCGACAGUCAGUCUUCUUUUUUUUCUAAGGUUGACCUCGGAUCAGGUAGGGAUACCCGCUGAACCUAAGCAUAUC